AAAAUGACAAACCCUAAAUUUCCGUGUCCAACUUUAACUGUCCGUCUUGUAUGAAAUUUUUUUAUAAUUCGUAUUUUCAUUGCUGUUUGAUAAUAAAACAUGAUUAAUAUUUUUUGUGUGGCUUGUCUUUUUAAUUUUUUUUCAUAAUUUUUUAAAAUAAGACGGACGGUCAAACGUUGAACAUGGAAACUAUGGUUUGUCUUUUU
This 206-nucleotide microRNA precursor is filed under the name Oryza glumipatula. RNAcentral describes it as "MIR812 microRNA precursor family". It matches the Rfam family "MIR812 microRNA precursor family". The record is from Rfam by way of RNAcentral. Lineage: Eukaryota; Viridiplantae; Streptophyta; Magnoliopsida; Poales; Poaceae.